This is an RNA transcript of Megachile rotundata (alfalfa leafcutting bee), 5862 nucleotides long. It is a transcript of the gene named rho guanine nucleotide exchange factor 18 cysts, with no coding region annotated. NCBI's taxonomy places the organism in Eukaryota, Metazoa, Arthropoda, Insecta, Hymenoptera, Megachilidae. The record is from RefSeq and is a predicted model, not a curated record.
AUGCACGUAUCUCAUCACCGAUUUUCGUUUGUAUAAUUUUUUCACCGUUUAUAUCUUUACAAAGGCAGAAAUAGAUCAUAGAAUUCCUGUAGAUCAGAAAGUGCGCAAACCGUCAUUUAUAUAGUUCUUUCUCUUGGUGGAAUUGUACAAGUGGUAGGGAACCUACUGAAGGUAGAUAAGAUGCGCGUAUAGUAGUACGUUCUAUUAUGAAACGAAUAAUAUAUAUUUGAAUAUUCUAAACCAAGCUAUAAAUUUAUUGGAAGUAUUUAACAAUAUCAGUUCUGCAAUUUAGAAUCAUGAUACAUUAAUAUGUGGCGGGUAGAUUUCAAGUUAUUUCCACCAAAAGAUUCCAUGAGUUACCAGUUACCACAUCCCUACAAUUUCUUAGUGUCUAUAUACUUUGGCUAGUACAAAAUGGUUGACGUGCCUUGAUUGUAUGAUACAGAUUGGUAGAUACAACAUUUUGUUUUCCCAUGAAGGAGAUAGAUAUAGUAAACCGCGUGUAAUAUUAAUGGAUAUAUAAAAAUUAUCACGUUUCGGUUUCCGUUCUUGGAAAAAUAAGUAUUCAUCCAACGUCGGAAAUAAAGAAGAUGGAGAAAAGGCAGGAAAUAUUGGCUCCGUUUUCUUCUGAUGAGUGUCCAAAUAGUGGAGAAGAUAGCGAGGAAGAUGUAAUAACUGAUUACCUAGGAUCAUCGCAUUCUGACUGCGAUCGUAUAGCUAUCAUUAAUGGGGAUCUUGCUAGUUUGAAUCUACGAGGGAAUAUAAUUACCGAAACCACCUACACCAAAGACAAUACAGAAAAAACGGCUAUUGCGAUGUCUGAAGGAACUGAUGAGCAACAGCAGCAGCACCCACUGCUUGCACUUGGCGCUAACAGUCAAACUCAGCCUAAUCCUUUGGUGCCAACUAUUAGUGUCACACCUCAUUCACCUGGUCUUGCUAAGAACUACCCUGUUCUGGAGGACAACUUGCAACAUCUGCAUGAAAUCCAUGAUUGCAUUCAGCGUAUGAGAGAUCUGACGCUGAGCAACUGGGGAUAUAAUCACCGCACAUCCCAAAAUGAUGUACCUCAGCGAUUAACUUCAUCGUGUCCUUCCUUGUGUCCUUUAAUUUUACCUGAAAUUGCACCACGUUCGAGUAAUAAUGAUACAGGAUCUGAUCCAGAUCUCCUUGCUAAUUGUUCCACCAACAGUUCUCCUACACAUUUUCCAUCAGUAGGUCCUCGUUCACAGAAUGCACAAGGUAUAGACAGAAGACGCAGCUGGACUGACCUGGAAGAUACUCGAUGUGGGCGUCGCAGAUAUUCUGGGCAAAAUCACCUGCAAGCACAAAACAUGCGACAGCGCAGUAUUAGUUUAAGUAGCCUAGACAGUGAAAUGGAAAUAGAAUUACAUGGAAAACCUUGUACCAGACCUGCUGGAGUUGGUAGUCGUGCAUGCAGAUCGCAAGCAAGUACUCAUUCUCUUAAUGAAGCUGAUCUUGUACAGAGUGAAUAUCAGAAGAUAGUCGCAAAACGAUUCAAAGGUAGUCAAAGAUUAGCAGAAAGUAGUGGUUUAAUGCCUGGACUCACAGGCUCUCGUUUACCUCUUCAAAAGUCUAUUUCAACGCCUUCAAUUGUUACACCCCAAGUCAAUGUUCACUUAGCAGAGUCUGUAACUAGGACAACACCAUCACUUACAGCCCGACGUGAAAGAAAUGAAAAGGGUAGCGGAAGUGAAACUGAAACGGAGGAUCUUCAUACACCACACAGCCAUGAAUUCCAUGAAGAUAGGGAGGGCACCCCAAAUGCUCAGAUAUCUCUUGAUGAAUUACUUACAGAUGGAGCUGCAUAUGACGAUCAUCAUUCAGAGAAAACUAGAAGAAAACGAGGUUCUAUUUUCUUUCGUAAGAAAAAGGACAAGAGUGGUAAAAAAACUAGUCAGCAACAGCAUUUAUGGACGACAAUAAUGGCAGGAUCUCAGGGAAGUUUAUUAUGUGAUGUUUGUAUGAAACAAUCAACAAAUAAACCACUUUUACAUUGCGAUAACUGUGGAGUAUCCGUGCACCAAAGUCAAGGGUGUAAAGAUCAACUAGUGCUAGAAUGUAUUAAAUCAAAACACCAUUCUAGCAAAGCGGCCAUCAAAUCUACAUCAAGUAUAUCCUCAACUUCGAGUAGCUAUAAUGUUAAGAGAGGAUCUACCGCAUCAUUGCCUCUACCAACAUCUGGAAGUGGAAGUCAAACAAUAAAUGAAGAGAAAGAUGGAGAUGGGCAGCAUCGUGAUAUAUCCAGUGGUUUGGAUGGGUACGACUUCUUGGACGAUGCUUAUCAGUUUACUGUUGGUGAUCUGGAAGGUCUGGAUCCUGAGUUGGGUUUAGCUAAAGAAGAACCUGAUUCUUGGAGUGCCGCUAUUGGACACAGUGUUGCGUUACGAUUGGUUGAUAAUUGCGAACGAAAAGUAAAAAGACAAGAACACAUUUAUGAAUUUGUUCUUACGGAAAAACAUCAUUGUCUAGUGCUUCUAGCGAUGGAAAGAAUUUUUGCUGAAGGUCUUCGACGACACUUUCGCUUGGGUCAGCCAGAUUUAGAACGCAUGUUUCCCAGAUUACGUGAUCUCAUCGACAUCCAUUUACGAUUUUUGCAAAAAUUACGCAAGCGACAAAAUGCAAACUCUGUUGUUCCUACGAUUGCUGAUAUACUUGUUGAUCAGUUCUCUGGAGAGAAUGCACAACGUAUGAAGAGUGCCUAUGGAGAAUUCUGUAGUCGCCACAGAGAUGCUGUCGAAGCUUACAAGUAUUAUCUUCGUCACGAUCCUCGAUUUGCACGGUUCGUGCGUCAAUGCCAGUCACACCCUUUGCUGAAAAAGAAGGGAAUUCCUGAAUGUAUUCUAUUUGUUACUCAACGUUUAACGAAAUAUCCGUUACUGGUGGAACCACUAAUAAAAACGGGUAUUGUACAAGAAGAAGGAGAAGACUUACGCAAAGCUUUGAUUCUCGUUAAAGAGAUUUUAGCUGACGUGGAUGCAUGCGUAGCUGAUAAAGAAAGGGAAGAUAGGAAAUUAGAAAUCUAUAAUAAGAUCGACGCUAAAUCUUUUGCAACGUAUCGUGGUGUCAAGUUCAAAAAGUCAGAUAUCAUGGCAUUUAAUCGAAUCUUAAAAUUCGAAGGUACCGCGUAUUUAAUGCAAGGUCGUGGAAAAAUGACUGCCAUCGUAGUGGUUGUUCUUUCUGAUAUAUUAUUUUUCUUGGCUGAAAGAGAUCAAAAAUAUGCAUUCUUUGUGCCUGACAAUAAGGCUGGUAUAGUGUCACUUCAAAAAUUACUGGUACGCGAAAAAGCGGGCCAGGAAUCGAGGGGAAUCUAUUUAAUAAGUAGCAAUCCAGCUGAACCUGAAAUGUUUGAGUUAAAAAUUCAGAAGCCCAAGGAUAAACAAUUAUGGAUACAAGCAAUUAGAUCUGCCGUUGAAGCCUGUCCGCAAGAACCUGAAAACGAAGCUGAUACGUUAACAGAAAACAACAGUAGUAACGAAUUGAGAGAUACGCGUUCAUCUUCUUUAUCGUUACUUUCUGUCGAAGAAAGGCAACGUUUAGUUAAGACUAAAGAAUCUCACGUUCUAAAGAUAGUUGGUGAAUUGCGUAAAAAAGAUGAAGAACAAGCACUAUUACUGGAGGAAAAAAUCAAUUUACAAAUGCAACUUUUACACGUUGCGAAUAUUUGGAGUGGAAAUGAAAGUAGCGAUAAUGAAAGAAUAGAAAAGGUUGAUAAAGAAAUUCCAGAUUAUAACAGACUAGUUCAUAAUGAAGGAACUGAUACCACACAGUUACGGCAGGAGGUGGUUGCUGCUGUUCAAGAAGCAACAAAACUGGCUAGCUCAUUAUCCUUUACUGCGGGUGGUGCUACUCUUUCAAGAAGUUUAAGUUCUGCGGGAGAACGACAUAGUGAGGCUUAUGUUCCGCCUGCUCUUUGUGUUCCUCGAAGAGCUGAAACAUUCGCGGGUUUUGAUCACAAUAAAGAAAAAUAUCCAUUGAGAGAGUCAUCCGCUAUUCAUUCUUUGGUAUCUCUUCCAAAAGUAGGUGAAUUUCUGAAAGAAAGUUCGGACGAAAAAGACAACCCAGACUCAGAUGUAAAUAAAGAUCAACAAUGGGCAGCAAUUCGUUUGUCUCAUCAUGUUUAUACGUUGGCUUGUAUAAUUAGUAAUCAGAUGACGACGAUCGACAGCUUGCAGGCACAAUUAGCCGCGUGCAAAGAAGGGAGUAUGGGUAAAUCAAAUAAUAGACCUAACCCAAAUCGUCAACUAGAAGAAUUACGCAAUUUACAAGAUCAGUUGAGUCGAGAGAAAGCAGCUUUUCGAGCUGAGUCUCAACAAGAGCAAAAACAAUUGGAAGAAGAGCGAGCCGAGUUAGCAAGACAACGGGAACAACUGGCAGCAGAACAGAGAGACGUGACACAGCAACGAGAUCAAUUAUACCGACGACUGGAAGCGUUGGAACGGCAAGGAGUGACACUGGUUACAGGUACCGCACCUAGCUCAGCGUCUAUUCAUUUGUCUCACAUGACACAGGGAAAUGAUACGGUUCAGUCAAGGAAAUCACAACCAGAUGCUAAGCGGAUACCAUUAAAUUUAAUUAGCGCUACUAACCAGCAGAAAGUGCAAAGUAAUCUUCCAGUAAAACAACAGUUGCCUUUAAAACUUGCCAGUGGAAGCAACAAUAAUACUAGUAGGAGUGGAAGUACAAGCAACAAUAGUCCAGAUCGACAUUCGCGGACAGGAAGUAGUCCAGCAAUUGUAACUGGCUCUACGUAUUCCUCGCCGGAAUUAGGCAAUAAUCACGCUGGUGUGAGUCAAACUCAUUCUUCCAAUCGUUCGCUUCGAAUCACACGGUCACCUCCAGAGUAUUCGCAUCAACAGCAACACCAACGAACUGAACAGCAACAGCCUUUGGAAGAGGAAGUAAUUUUUUUCUGACGACUCUUUCGUUUUGGUCGAAAGCAUUCUCGAUCUUCUCGUCCUGCGACUGGCGAGGCAACCCCGACUUCUACGCUAACUCCCUCCCGAAAUCAAUCAAAAGAUGCUCAACCUAGAAGUCGUGUAAAGUCAUUUUGACUUUCAACAUUUUCUCGCGUACAAGACAAAUGAACUCUUCUUCGCUCACUUUUUAUCACAUUUGCGAGAGGGAGAUAACUCUUUUCCUGCUUGAAGAAUAAUCCAGUUAACAGGUUAAGCCGACUGACAGUUUUAGAGACAUGAUUUUAGACGAAUCUUUUAAGCAAAUCUGUUACUGCUUGCUGAAAAAAAGGCAAGGUAGAGAAUUACAUUAUAUUAGCAUUGCAUAUACAUGGAUGUGUAUAUAUAUAUACUUUUUUCAUGACAUAUGUAUGACCUUACUUGUACGUAUGCUGAAAAACGCGCGGAAGUAUAUAUGCGUGCGUGUGAAUGCGAUUUAAUGAAUGUACGUAUACGUGUACGUGUACAGUUUCGUUUUAUUAAAAAAAUAAAAUGUACGCGUAUGCUCCUGUAGAUGUGUAUGCAUGUACGUGUUACGAAUACGUGAAUGAGCGCGUUAUUCUUAUACCAUUUACUCUAAAAGUAUUUUAAUACGUGCUAAAACGACGGAUAAGAUUUAUUAUUAACAAUAAUGAAUUAUUGUUAUCGUGUGCCAAGUCACAGAUCGAUUAUGAUUUUCCGCUAUCAUUAUAUCAUUCCUCUUGAUGGAAGUAAUCGUUUUAAUUUGAUCAAACGAACAGCGAUCCAAAUAAUGUUUUAUAUUUGAUAUUUUGCUUCGAGAUUAUUCACUGCCAUUGUCGUUACUAUUAUGUAAUCAUUUUUCUUCCUUUUUUUAAUUAUCUACAAAUUAUUUUAUUUAUUGCAUCGCGUAAGAUCAUUAAUAAUU